UAGGGAAUCUUCCGCAAUGGGCGAAAGCUUGACGGAGCAACGCCGCGUGAGUGAUGAAGGUCUUCGGAUCGUAAAACUCUGUUAUUAGGGAAGAACAAAUGUGCAAGUAACUAUGCACGUCUUGACGGUACCUAAUCAGAAAGCCACGGCUAACUACGUGCCAGCAGCCGCGGUAAUACGUAGGUGGCAAGCGUUAUCCGGAAUUAUUGGGCGUAAAGCGCGCGUAGGCGGUUUUUUAAGUCUGAUGUGAAAGCCCACGGCUCAACCGUGGAGGGUCAUUGGAAACUGGAAAACUUGAGUGCAGAAGAGGAAAGUGGAAUUCCAUGUGUAGCGGUGAAAUGCGCAGAGAUAUGGAGGAACACCAGUGGCGAAGGCGACUUUCUGGUCUGUAACUGACGCUGAUGUGCGAAAGCGUGGGGAUCAAACAGG
Molecule: ribosomal RNA, 429 nt
Filed under: Actinomycetes bacterium
Lineage: Bacteria; Bacillati; Actinomycetota; Actinomycetes
Description: Actinobacteria bacterium partial 16S ribosomal RNA
Rfam family: Bacterial small subunit ribosomal RNA
Source: RNAcentral